GAAUGAAUGUAGAGUCAGUUGUCGCUGGUCCCUUCGGGGGCAUGUGCACGCCUUCUCUUUCAUCCACACACACCUGUGCACUCGUGAGCCGGAAGCCCUCGGGCGUCCGUCUGCUCUACAUAAACACAUAUAUAUAAUUUGAAUGUAAUCGAUGUAACACAUCUUUAAACUAAGUUUCAACAACGGAUCUCUUGGCUCU
RNAcentral lists this unclassified non-coding RNA (199 nucleotides) under rhizosphere metagenome. Its description in RNAcentral is "partial ribosomal RNA internal transcribed spacer region". The record is from RNAcentral.